Non-coding RNA from Mycoplasmataceae bacterium RC_NB112A, 3207 nucleotides. Lineage: Bacteria; Bacillati; Mycoplasmatota; Mollicutes; Mycoplasmatales; Mycoplasmataceae. The record is from Rfam.
AAAUAAGUUACUAAAAGUGGAUGGUGGAUACCUUGGGACUAAUAGGCGAUGAAGGACGUAAUAAAGUGCGAUAAGCUUCGGGGAGGGAACUAUGAACCGGAGAUUUCCGAAUGGGGUAACCUGCUACCAGUAAUGUGGUAGUGUCUAAGAAGUUAAAACCUCUUGGGAGCGAACCUGACGAACUGAACCAUCUUAGUAGUCAGAGGAAAAGAAAACAACCGUGAUUCCCCCAGUAGUGGCGAGCGAAAAGGGAACAGCCUAAACCACCAAGGAGUUACAAAAGUUAUUUAUAGAAGAAUUAGGUGGAAAACUAAACCAUAGAAAGUGAAAGUCUUGUAUUCGAAAUAGAUAACUCUUCUGGUUUAAUAAGUACCGCGGAACACGAGAAAUUUUGUGGGAAGGGAAUAAUCCAGCGGGGACCACCCCGUAAGGCUAAAUACUCAUUAGUCACCGAUAGUGAACUAGUACCGUGAGGGAAAGGUGAAAAGAACUUCCGAGUGAAAUAGAACGUGAAACCAUCACACUUACAAGAGGUCAAAGGGCUUUCAUAAAGCCUAAUGGCGUGCUUUUUGCAGAAUGAGCCGGCGAGUUAUGCCGAUUGGCAAGGUUAAGUUUUUUCAAAAUGGAGCCAUAGCGAAAGCGAGUUUUAACAGAGCGUUAAGUCAAUCGUCAUAGACCCGAAACUAGGUGAGCUAACCAUGAGCAGGUUGAAGUGGAGGUAAAACUUCAUGGAGGACCGAACCAGUGAACGUUGAAAAGUUCUUGGAUGACUUGUGGUUAGGAGUGAAAAGCUUAUCGAACCUAGAGAUAGCUGGUUCUCCCCGAUAUAGUUGUAGGACUAGCGCAGGAAUAAAUAAUGGGGGUAGAGCACUGAAUAUAGAAGGGCCCUUAACCGGGUACCAACUAUAAUUAAACUCCGAAUACCAUUUAUCUUUUUUCCUGUAGUCAGUCUACGGGGGAUAAGCUCCGUGGACGUGAGGGAAACAGCCCAGACUAUCGGCUAAGGUCCCUAAAUAGUAUUAAGUGUAGAAGGAAGUUGGGGCACGAAGACAGCUAGGAGGUUGGCUUGAUAGCAGUCCAUCCUUUAAAGAGUGCGUCAAAGCUCACUAGUCGAUUAGUGUUCCAGCACCGAGAAUUUAAGGGGGCUCAAAUACUAUACCGAAGCCAUAGGCUAAUUGGUAAUAAAAGAAUUAUUAAUGCAUCAAUGAAACAGGACAUAAUAAAAUUCAAAGUUAAAGUGUAUGACGCAAACCAUCAAGAAUUAGAAAAAGAAAUCGCUGUUGUCAUAAGUUAGAAUUAUUGAAAGCGGUUGAUGAUGGCAAAAAUUAUUAUUGAGAAAUAAAGCGUUACUUACGGCGCGGAAUAAACGAAGAAAACUACGGUUUGGAUUACUCUUAUCGAAAAUGCCUAAAUUGUGGUAAAAGCGAAGAAUUGCUUGAUUAUAAAAACUGAUUAUGUCCAAAAUGUCAUUGUAAAAGUCGAAGCAAAAAAGAUAAACAUUAAUAUUUUUCUAUUACCAAUUAGCGGUAGGGGAGCGUAGUAAGGCGAAAAAUUAAAGAAGUUAGACCGCGAGGACUAAUGGAGCCUUUACUAGUGAGAAUGCCGGCAUGAGUAACGAAAGAGGGUGCGAAUCCCUCUGGCCGUAAGACUAAGGUUUCCAGGGUCAAGUUCGUCUACCCUGGGUUAGUCGGGACCUAAGGCGAGGCUGAAAAGCGUAGUCGAUGGAUAACAGGUUAAUAUUCCUGUACUACUAUAAUUACUGAUGGAGUGACGAAGCCAGUUAGGGUAAACCAUUUAUUGAAUUAUGGUCUAACUGCUUAGAGGGGAUGGGACUAAAUCACCAUCCAUUACCUUGAGGCAGGAUAGGUAGGGCAACUGAAUUAUCUGAUACUUUGCUUCCAAGAAAAACUCCUAGGGUUAAUAAUUAUGGACUCGUACCGAGAACGAACACACGUAGUCUAGGAGAAUAUCCUCAGGCCAGCGAGAAAACUAUAGUUAAGGAACUCGGCAAAUUAGCCCCGUAACUUCGGAAGAAGGGGUGCCUAAGGUGAAACUUAGGUCGCAGUGAAGAGGCACCGGCAACUGUUUACCAAAAACACAGCUCUCUGCUAACUCGUAAGAGGAUGUAUAGGGGGUGACGCCUGCCCAGUGCUGGUAAGUUAAAGGGAGAAGUUAGCCAGCAAUGGCGAAGCCUCGAACCGAAGCUCCAGUGAACGGCGGCUGUAACUAUAACGGUCCAAAGGUAGCGAAAUUCCUUGUCAGGCAAGUUCUGACCCGCACGAAAGGCGUAAUGAUCGGUGCACUGUCUCGACUAUAGACUCGGUGAAAUUUUAUUACCGGUGAAGAUACCGGUUACCCACAAUUAGACGGAAAGACCCCGUGGAGCUUUACUAUAACUUGAUAUUGAACUUUCCUCUUGUCUGUGUCAUGGUAGGUGGGAGGCAAACUGAGCUUCGGCUCGGAGAGCCACAGGUGAGAGACCACCCGGAUGAGCGAAAAAUUCUAACUGGUUGGUUUACAGCCAACAGGACAGUGUCUGGUAGGUAGUUUGACUGGGGCGGUCGCCUCCUAAAGAGUAACGGAGGUGUUCAUAAGGUAUCCUCAAUAGGAAUAGAAAUCCUAUGUAGAGCGUAAAGGUAUAAGGAUGCUUAACUGUAAGAUUUACCAAUCGAACAGAUGCGAAAGCAGGACUUAGUGAUCUGGCGGUUACCUAGUGGUAGGGCCGUCACUUAACGGAUCAAAGUUACCCCGGGGAUAACAGGCUAAUACUUCCCGAGCGUCCAUAGCGACGGAAGUGUUUGGCACCUCGAUGUCGACUCAUCGCAUCCUGGAGGUGAAGAAGCUUCCAAGGGUUGGGCUGUUCGCCCAUUAAAGCGGUACGUGAGUUGGGUUCAGAACGUCGUGAGACAGUUUGGUCCCUAUCUGUUGUGGGCGCAGGAAAUUUGAGAAGCGCUGCUUUUAGUACGAAAGGAACUAAGUGGACUGACCAAUGGCGUACCAGUUGUCAUGUCAAUGGCACGGCUGGAUAACUAUGUCAGGAAUAGAUAAGCACUGAAAGCAUCUCAAGUGCGAAACUAACUUCAAGAUAAGAUCUCCCAUCCCGCGAGGGAGUAAGAUACCUUCCAGACUAGGAGGUUGAUAGGUAACAAGUGUAAGCAGAGUAAUCUGUGUAGCUUAGUUAUACUAAUAUAUCGAGGACUUAUUGAG